AAGACCUUGCGCUUUUGGAGCGGCCGAUGUCUGAUUAGCUUGUUGGUGAGGUAAAAGCUUACCAAGGCUUCGAUCAGUAGCUGGUCUGAGAGGACGACCAGCCACACUGGGACUGAGACACGGCCCAGACUCCUACGGGAGGCAGCAGUGGGGAAUUUUGGACAAUGGGGGCAACCCUGAUCCAGCCAUGCCGCGUGAGUGAAGAAGGCCUUCGGGUUGUAAAGCUCUUUCAGCCGGAACGAAACGGUUACGGUUAAUACCCGUGACUACUGACGGUACCGGAAGAAGAAGCACCGGCUAACUACGUGCCAGCAGCCGCGGCAAUACGUAGGGUGCGAGCGUUAAUCGGAAUUACUGGGCGUAAAGCGUGCGCAGGUGGUUUUGUAAGUCAGAUGUGAAAUCCCCGGGCUCAACCUGGGAACU
RNAcentral lists this ribosomal RNA (423 nucleotides) under uncultured bacterium. Its description in RNAcentral is "bacterial SSU rRNA". It matches the Rfam family "Bacterial small subunit ribosomal RNA", at positions 207 to 622 of the family's 1533-position model. The record is from RNAcentral.